GCGUUUGUAGCUCAGCUGGAUAGAGUGUCUGGUUACGGCCCAGAAGGUCAGGGGUUCGACUCCUCUCAAGCGCACCA
This 77-nucleotide transfer RNA is filed under the name Mycoplasma sp. Its description in RNAcentral is "tRNA-Arg". It matches the Rfam family "tRNA". Rfam says of the family: Transfer RNA (tRNA) molecules are approximately 80 nucleotides in length. Their secondary structure includes four short double-helical elements and three loops (D, anti-codon, and T loops). Further hydrogen bonds mediate the characteristic L-shaped molecular structure. tRNAs have two regions of fundamental functional importance: the anti-codon, which is responsible for specific mRNA codon recognition, and the 3' end, to which the tRNAs corresponding amino acid is attached (by aminoacyl-tRNA synthetases). tRNAs cope with the degeneracy of the genetic code in two manners: having more than one tRNA (with a specific anti-codon) for a particular amino acid; and 'wobble' base-pairing, i.e. permitting non-standard base-pairing at the 3rd anti-codon position. The record is from RNAcentral. RNAcentral also lists the same sequence under 1 other name. Lineage: Bacteria; Bacillati; Mycoplasmatota; Mollicutes; Mycoplasmatales; Mycoplasmataceae.